UACGUAGGGGGCAAGCGUUGUCCGGAAUCAUUGGGCGUAAAGAGCGUGUAGGCGGCCCGAUAAGUCCGCCGUGAAAGUCCAGGGCUCAACCCUGGAAUGCCGGUGGAAACUGUCGGGCUGGAGUCCGGAAGAGGCGAGUGGAAUUCCUGGUGUAGCGGUGAAAUGCGCAGAUAUCAGGAGGAACACCAAUGGCGAAGGCAGCUCGCUGGGACGGUACUGACGCUGAGACGCGAAAGCGUGGGGAGCAAACAGG
RNAcentral lists this ribosomal RNA (253 nucleotides) under uncultured bacterium. RNAcentral's name for it is "partial 16S ribosomal RNA". It matches the Rfam family "Bacterial small subunit ribosomal RNA", at positions 524 to 776 of the family's 1533-position model. RNAcentral also lists the same sequence under 1 other name. The record is from RNAcentral.